GAUGAACGCUGGCGGCGUGCCUAAUACAUGCAAGUCUAGCGAAAAGACGAGGAUCUUGCUCCUCUGACGUUAGCGGCGGACAGUAGAGUAACACGUGGAUAACCUACCUAUAAGACUGGGAUAACUUCGGGAAACCGGAGAUAAUACCAGAUAAUAUAUUGAACCGCAUGGUCUGAUAGUGAAAGACGGUGUUGCUGUGACUUAUAGAUGGAUACGCGCCGCAUUAGCUAGUUGGUAAGGUAACGGCUUACCAAGGCAACGAUGAGGAGCCGACAUGAGAGUGUGAUGGGCCCGGCUGGAAAUGGUAGACGGCCAAGACUGCUAUGGGAGGCAGCAGUAGCGAAUCUUGCGGAAUGGGGGGAAGAAUGACGGACAAACGGCGCGUGAGUGAUGCAGGUCUUCGGUUCGUAAAAUGAUGGUAUUAGGGAAGAACAAAUGUGUAAGUAACUAAGCACGAAUUGACGGUACCUGAUCAGAAAGCCACGGCUAACUACGUG
This 497-nucleotide ribosomal RNA is filed under the name uncultured bacterium. RNAcentral's name for it is "partial 16S ribosomal RNA". It matches the Rfam family "Bacterial small subunit ribosomal RNA", at positions 28 to 507 of the family's 1533-position model. The record is from RNAcentral.